UACGAAAGGGGCUAGCGUUGUUCAGAAUUACUGGGCGUAAAGCGCAUGUAGGCGGGUCGUUAAGUCGGGGGUGAAAGCCCAAAGCUCAACUCUGGAACUGCCUUCGAUACUGGCAACCUGGACCCAAGGAGAGGCGAGUGGAAUUGCGAAUGUAGAGGUGAAAUUCGUAGAUAUUCGCAGGAACACCAGUGGCGAAGGCGACUCGCUGGACUUGUGGUGACGCUGAAAUGCAAAAGCAUGGGGAGCAAACAGG
This 253-nucleotide ribosomal RNA is filed under the name uncultured bacterium. RNAcentral describes it as "partial 16S ribosomal RNA". It matches the Rfam family "Bacterial small subunit ribosomal RNA", at positions 524 to 776 of the family's 1533-position model. The record is from RNAcentral.